CUCUCAUUCGCAUUUCAUUUCUCGUUGCGAGCGGACGUGUCUGAUUGUUGCUGCGUUCAGUUUAAUAAUAUAGUGAACUGCGACUCCUAAGUGAAACUCACUCCAAUUUUAAAUUGUGCCAAAAAUCUAAAUUGUAAAUCACAUAUUAAAAGAUAAAUGAAUGAGUAAAAACCGCACUAAACAAAUUCAACAAAUGCGACGUCAAAUCAAAUACAGUGUUAAUUAAAAUAAUAAAAAAAAAAAGUGCAAGAAGAAGCAGCAAGCGUGACUACCCCUGUUUACAUAGUGUAGACUACCCCCUGAAAGAAACAGCACACACAAUUUGUUGGUGUCAAUUAUACGGGGCAGCUGUGCACAUAAUUUGCGACGCGACUGUAAACACAAAAAGCCGUCAAACUGUGGGGCUCCGGGGCAUUUUUUCUUCCUCCGCACGGAAUGUAUUAUCCGGUAUGUAUCACGAGUAUGGAGGUUUGAAUGAGUAUAUAAGCUGAGGUCUGUAGCUGCCAUAUGUUUUGCAGCAUAUUGUCAAGAAAAUCAACACGCAUUUCCCAUCCAAUCAGCCUGCCCAUAUAUACACUGGGAUAAUGCAGCUAGCUUUCAGUUAUAAGUGCCAUUAUACCCAUCUUAAGCCCAACAUUUAUUAUACGUUGCCGACGCAGUAAGCGCCUUAAGAACAAAGAACAGUCGUAUAUGGCUAUGUAUAUGGGUCUAUGUGGACUUUAUUUACUACACACUAAUGCCACAAAUUAAAAUGCUGUGCCGUAUGCCGUUGCCGUUGCCAAUGGUGCUUAAUGAGUGGAGUUCGUACAACGUGCAAUGUCCCUCGCUUGUCUGGAGUCUAAUUUUAGCUAUCGACUGGCUGACUGGCUGCCCGGCUCCCUUGCCCGGAUCUCUGCUGGGGCUCAACACUCAGACAGUAGCCAAGAGUUGAAUACACAGCAUGGGGUGACCGCUCUCAAAUCUCAACAGCCCUAAAGAGAAAGACACACACAUACACACACGCACACACUAAAACGCACUCACACUCAAGCACACACACGAUGGCAGCAAAGACGAAACGAAAGAAAACAAAAAGAACUGAAAACUUUAUUAAAGACCUGAUCCGACUGCUCUGCCUUUCUGCCUGGCAGACUAAGUGAAUGACGACGAGCUCUCCAUACGCAAUUACGACAAAAAUCCAGAACGUUGUAUGCGCGCCGGGUGAUAAUAUGAGCGAGCCACGAGGUGCAGGGAUAAAAAUAGAGAAGCCUACAUACAUACAUACAUACACAGAGGCAGAGUUACUUAGUUACUCACCGAGCAGUUGGCAGAGAAAAAAUUGAGCUGAAGCUGGAAAGGAUAGUGUAGCAAAUGGCAGGAAGCGCAGAAAGAGAAAAGCCAGUGCUUCGAGAAAGUACAAGAGGCAGCAAGAGAGAACGGCUGUAAACGACUGCACGCUACUCUGUUGGCAGACUCGACUGUGGUAUAUAACAUCUAUGCCAUUCGAAAUGCUAAUUGAAAGCGUAUAUGUCAUAUGUUUACUGGAAAUUAGAAUAGAGUGUUAUAGAGUACACUCAGCUAGGUCAGUUAGGCAAACUAAUAUACUCCUUUGCAGUCUGCAAACAGUGUAUAGGAGUCGCGGCUGCUGCUGCCGCCAUGUGUUGCAUUUCAAAGUGUGUGACUUAUUGCGCAAGCAGAGGGAGCAACUGUCAGAUGAGUCGGGCAAAUGACUAACAACACUGUACAGCAUGCAAGGGCAUUGGAUGCGAUACGAUUUCAAUACGUGGCCGCCACUGAGCCCCCUGAAUUACGGUUGGCCUAUACCUGUCCUGCAACGCCACUCAGUCAGUCAAACACACACACACACACACACAGAGAGAGAUCUGUCGAACCGCAUGCAAAUCAAUCAAUUCAAAUGCGGUCUGCUCAACAAUGCUCAAUAAAUCGGGAAUGCAAUUUAGUCUGAAAGGCAGCUGGAAAGGCAGUGAAACCUUUGAUAUCGGAUUCGCAUAACUUGCCAUUAUUAAAUUCAAUGAGAUCUGUUAGCCAACGGUUUACAGUUGCACUGCCUGCGCUACUUUGCAUCCCCAUGCAGGCACAGACAGGAUAUUCGUAUGGUUUGCUUAUAUGCUAAUGAUUUGUGUAUAAUUAAUGCCAGAUAGUCGUAACCUCGAAAUUGCAGUUAAAGCAACUGUGUCUGCUGCUACUGCAGCUGCUACUGCAACAAAUUACAAAUACCAACAACAUUUUACAUCGCAUAAAAUAUACAUUUGACCCGCACUCGCAUGGCAAUAUGCACAAAACUUACAGCGAAAGUUUGACGUUCGUAAAAUGUUCCAAAAUUUGUUGAAUUUUUUCGCACUUUGCCAACUCUCAAAGGCGUAAAUAUGCAUUCUAAAUCAGUUGACAAGCUUUAGGUUAGGUAAGGUUGUUUGGAAGUUUGCUUGCUGAAGGUCAACAUGGAAAGCCAUAAAAGUAUUUUCUGAUCAAAUAUAUGUUCAUCCAACUACACUUACGUGGAUGGAGCUGCAAUUCGCGGCAUCGUCUGACACUCGAACUCAAAACUAACGACCGCCUUGAGUGUGCAGCACAAAGUGAUUUUAUUGCAAUGCACAAGGAGAGAAGUUACCUUGGAUUUCCUUACAACUUCACGUUCUUUUAGAUAAAAUGCUGCAAUUCCAAUUCCUUAACAAUCUUUGUUCA
RNAcentral lists this small RNA (2682 nucleotides) under Drosophila mojavensis. Its description in RNAcentral is "GI26550". The record is from RNAcentral. Lineage: Eukaryota; Metazoa; Arthropoda; Insecta; Diptera; Drosophilidae.